Eufriesea mexicana is the source of this 458-nucleotide long non-coding RNA. RefSeq lists it as uncharacterized. The record is from RefSeq and is a predicted model, not a curated record. The transcript is spliced from 3 exons. Lineage: Eukaryota; Metazoa; Arthropoda; Insecta; Hymenoptera; Apidae.
CUUUUCUUUUAGAAUUAAAGUAUUAAGUCUUUUAACAAGAAAUAAACUUCAUGUUGCUUAUUAAAAAGGUAAAAAAUAUCCGAAUACGAUGUCGUAUACACUUUGGACCAGAACGAAGAUGUCUCUCUUUUGUUAUUAGAUUUCCAGAUUUUUUAAAUAAACAUUUGCUAUCCAAGGGGCCCAGAUGAAUAAGACGGUAACAGUUAUUUCGCCAUGAUAAUUCUCGUACAGCCAUGCGCUUGGCGCAAUUGCAAUGCAACAAUCGUCGUACUUCCUCGAGCACACAAAACACACGUGUAUGUGACUAGAAAUGUUAUUUAGUCAAGAUGAAUAGCCAUGAUGUUGCUAAUUCGAGCAAAGAAUUGGAUACUUGACACAAAAAGGAAAAGCAAUUUACUGUAGACUCUGUUACGCGACGCAAAAGAGGGAAGAUUCUCCACCCGAAAUUGUACCCUUUG